This is an RNA transcript of Nycticebus coucang (slow loris), 922 nucleotides long. It is a transcript of the gene named V-type proton ATPase subunit D-like, with no coding region annotated. NCBI's taxonomy places the organism in Eukaryota, Metazoa, Chordata, Mammalia, Primates, Lorisidae. The record is from RefSeq and is a predicted model, not a curated record. The transcript is spliced from 2 exons.
AUGGUGGUCACCAGUGGUAGAGGGAAAGGAGAGAUCGUCACAAGGUUGGGCAAAGACCGAAUUGAAAUCUUUCCCUCGCGAACGGCACAGACCAUCAUGAAGGCUCGUUUAAAAGGAGCACAGACAGGUCGAAACCUCCUGAAGAAAAACUCCGAUGCCUUAACUCUUUGAUUUCGACAGAUCCUAAAGAAGAUAAUAGAGACUAAAAUGUUGAUGGGUGAAGUGAUGAGAGAAGCAGCCUUUUCAUUAGCUGAGGCCAAGUUCACAGCAGGGGAUUUCAGCACUACAGUUACCCAAAAUGUAAAUAAAGCCCAAGUGAAAAUUCGAGCGAAGAAAGAUAUGAAGGAACUGACAGUUAUGAACUGACUGGUCUAGCCAGAGGUGGGGGACAAUUGGCUAAAUUAAAGAGGAAUUAUGCCAAAGCAGUGGAACUACUUGUGGAACUGGCUUCGCUGCAGACUUCCUUUGUUACUUUGGAUGAAGCUAUUAAGAUAACCAAUAGGCGUGUAAAUGCCAUUGAACAUGUCAUGAUUCCCCAGAUUGAACGUACCCUUGCUUAUAUCAUCACAGAGCUGGAUGAGAGAGAGCGAGAAGAGUUCUACAGGUUACAGAAAAUACAGGAAAAGAAAAGGAUUCUCAAGGAAAAGUCUGAGAAGGAGUUGGAACAACGGAGAGCAGCUGGGGAGGUGAUGGAGCCUGCUAAUCUUCUGGCUGAAGAGAAGGAUAAGGAUCUUCUGUUUGAAUAAUCUUCCUUGCUGAUUCUUUUGGAAACCCUACCACGGGCUUCAUUUUAGUUCACAGUGUGUAAGUUUGAUUUGUGUGGCUGUUUAUUUUUUGGCCUAAGAAUUUCACUGAUUGUAAAAUUUACCUGGGUGUCUAUUUAUGGGAUUACAUUGCAGAAUCAUGAUUCGGCAACCCUUUG